Triticum aestivum (bread wheat) is the source of this 1174-nucleotide long non-coding RNA. RefSeq lists it as uncharacterized. The record is from RefSeq and is a predicted model, not a curated record. Lineage: Eukaryota; Viridiplantae; Streptophyta; Magnoliopsida; Poales; Poaceae. The transcript has 3 exons.
AUCCUGCCUCUGGCGACGGGCGACACGGCGAGUCGGCGACAGUUCCUCGCCUCUCACCAAAACAUAAUCAAUCGUACCCAGACUCCGGAGCGCCGGCGACGGACGACACGGCGAUAGUUCAUCAGUUCCUCUCGCCAAAAUAGCACGUUCCACUGCCGCACGGGCGUUCCACCACCAUAGGGUACAAGAAGACAAGGAUCUGCUGCGCGAGCCCGCCAGGAAGCCCAUGGAGCUGGCGCGGUUCGUCGGGCUGUCUCUCCGCCGCGGAGGGGGAUACAUCUUCUUCUUAAGAACCUGGAAUCAUUGCGACGGGCCACUUGGAUCCCCUCCGCCUGGUCAGUUCAUUCUUGGCAUUGAUUCAGUCUUGUUGAUGACGUACGAGUAGCACAGUGAUUCAGUAUUGUUGACGGUGUCCAAAAUUUAUUUCUCUUGCAAUGCAAAUUAUGUUUAUGUACUGUCCAAAUUUCAGUGUUUUGUUGUCCAAAAAUUCAUUGUAUGUGCUGUCCAAAUCUCAGUGUUUUGUUGUCCAAAAAUUCAGAGUUGGUGUUAGUUAUCCAAAUUUCAGUGCGUAGAUAGACUGUCUAAAUUUUAGUUUAUAUGCUCUCCAAAUUUCGGUGUACUUUCCCUGCUAUUUUACUGCCAUUUAUCAAAUUGUUUGCUGUCUUUCAUCUAGUGAUUUCAGUGUACCAAGGUUGGCUUUAACCCUCUGUUCUCUUCUGUUUUCCUAAGCACCCACGAGCUUGCAUUGUUGCAAGGACGAAUAUGCUGAUCUCGUAAUCAAUAGAACAAAAGCUCCGCCACCAAAAGAUGGGCCCCAGUUCAAAGUUUGGCACAGGGUCCCGGAUAUUGCCGACCCGGCGCUGCCCAUCUUCAGCUUCAUCGUCGGCAUCAAUUGAGAUGCUCAAUCUCGACCUUCUCACUGUUGUUUCAUAAUUUCUCCCAGCUUACAAUUAUUUACUUAGAGCCACCUUGUAACAAUGUUGCAAAAUGAAAGUCUUGCUCGGAACCUUUUCUCCUAGCGUCAACCACAAAAAAACCUGAUGUCCGGAAUCCACGGCUCUCAAAUUGAUUGAGAUUUAGCUAAUUCUCUGUCGACCAAGAAAAUAACAAAAUAAAAACCAGUUUGAUAAAAAGUGAGAAAAAUAAGAAAAAAAUAAAGAAAUAAAAUAAAUGU